GUCUUUUUGAUUAUAAUUUAAAGUCUAAUCUGCCCAAUGAAAUUUAAAAGGCCGCAGUAAUUUGACUGUGCAAAGGUAGCAUAAUAAUUAGUUUUUUAAUUGAAAGCUGGAAUGAAUGAUUGGACGAGAAAAUUUCUGUCUCUUAAUUAAUAAAGAAUUUAAUUUUUAAGUUAAAAAGCUUAAUUAAUUUUAAAAGACGAGAAGACCCUAUAGAGUUUUAUAUUAAUUUUUUUAAAAAUUUUUAGUAUAUUUUUUUUUAAUAAAUAUUAAUAUUUUAUUGGGGUGAUAAAAAAAUUAUUUAACUUUUUUAUUAUAAAACCAAUUAUAAUUGAUUUUUUGAUCCUUAAAAAAGAUUAUUAGAAAAAAUUACCUUAGGGAUAACAGCGUAAUUUUUUUGGAGAGUUCAUAUUAAUAGAAAAGAUUG
Molecule: ribosomal RNA, 424 nt
Filed under: Leptoplectus pertenuis
Lineage: Eukaryota; Metazoa; Arthropoda; Insecta; Coleoptera; Staphylinidae
Description: partial 16S ribosomal RNA
Source: RNAcentral